GUGCCCAGGACCCGGAGCAGCUGCAACAGGGCGUCCCUCCCUGUCCAAGGGUUUCCACUUCUGAGCGCAAAAGGGAAGAACUUAAGCGGGCGGCCAGUUGGAGUGUACAUUGCUCGGUAGUGUUUAAAAGCAGCACGGAUCGCGGGCAGCUGAGCCGUUUUGUCAGACUACCUGUGCAUGUCUUUACAUGAAAUCCUCCAUGGCACCCAACCCAAGGGAAAAGCAACAAACCAAAUGGACUUCAUGUGAAAUUAUUGACUACUCUGUGCCUCUCAGCCUCAAUUAGCCCCUAAUUCUAGGCACCUGGAAGCCAAAGCAAACCAUAAGGAGCCACAAGCACUACCCCGAUGCAGCAUCUCUGGAAGGAAGUUUCACAUGCCACCUGGCAACCACCAUGUUACCUUCUGUUUCUAUGAGUCUGCCUACUUCAGAUAUUUAUGUAAGUAGAAUCAUGCAGUAUUUAUCUGUAUGCGACUGGCUUGUUUCACGAUCAGAAUGUCCUCAAGUUUCAUCUACGCUGUAGCUUAUAUCAGAAUAACCUUUCUUUCUAAAGCUAAAUAAUAUUUCAUCAUGUGUAUAUACCACAUUUUGCUUAUAUAUUCAUCUGUCAGUAGACACUUGGGUUGCUUCCACGUUUUAGCUAUUAUGAAUAAUGCUGCUAUAAACAUGACUACCAAUAUCUCUUUAAGACUCUGCUUCUAGAAUUGCCGAAUCAUUUUCCAUUUUAAUUUUUUUAAUUUUUUAAUUUUUUUUCAUUUAAAAUUUUUUAAAGAACCAACAUACUGUUUUCUACAGUGGCUUUGCUAUUUCCAUUCCUAUCAACAGUGCACAGGGGUUCCAACUUCACAUCAUCACCAAUACAUCUUUUCUUUUCUCUCUCUGUCUCUUUCUCUCUUUUUUAUGGAUUAGUAACCAUUCUAAUGGGUCUGAGGUAGGAUCUCGUUAUAGUUUUGAUUUCUAUUUCCCUAAUAUUAGUGAUGUUGAAUAUCCUUUCAUGUGCUUAUUGGCCAUUUGUUGUAUAUUUUCUUUGAGAAAUAUCCAAGCCCUUUGUCAAUUUUUUAAAUUGAGUUGUUUGUUCUUUUUUGUUGUUGAUUUUUAGAAAUUUUCUAUAUAUUCUGUAUAUUAAUCCCUUAUCAGAUAUAUAGUUCACAAAUAUUUUCUCUGAUUCUUUGGUUUUCAUUUUUAUUCUGUUGGUAGUGUCUUCUGUUGUGUAAUUUUUUUUUUAAUUUUCAUAAGGUACAAUUUUUUUUUUCAUUUGUUUCCUGUGCCUCUGGUGUUAAGAAACUA
RNAcentral lists this long non-coding RNA (1287 nucleotides) under Canis lupus familiaris (dog). RNAcentral describes it as "lncRNA (ENSCAFG00000052429.1)". Lineage: Eukaryota; Metazoa; Chordata; Mammalia; Carnivora; Canidae. The record is from RNAcentral.